GUGCCAGCCGCCGCGGUAAUACGGAGGGUGCAAGCGUUAUCCGGAUUCACUGGGUUUAAAGGGUGCGUAGGCGGGUAUGUAAGUCCGUGGUGAAAUCUCCGAGCUUAACUCGGAAACUGCCAUGGGUACUGCGUAUCUUGAAUGUUGUGGAGGUGAGCGGAAUAUGUCAUGUAGCGGUGAAAUGCUUAGAUAUGACAUAGAACACCAAUUGCGAAGGCAGCUCACUACACAAAUAUUGACGCUGAGGCACGAAAGCGUGGGGAUCAAACAGGAUUAGAUACCCUGGUAGUCCACGCCCUAAACGAUGAUUACUCGACAUACGCGAUACACAGUGUGUGUCUGAGCGAAAGCAUUAAGUAAUCCACCUGGGAAGUACGACCGCAAGGUUGAA
RNAcentral lists this ribosomal RNA (391 nucleotides) under uncultured bacterium. Its description in RNAcentral is "bacterial SSU rRNA". It matches the Rfam family "Bacterial small subunit ribosomal RNA", at positions 505 to 898 of the family's 1533-position model. The record is from RNAcentral.